GACGAACGCUGGCGGCGUGCUUAACACAUGCAAGUCGAGCGGUAAGGCCCUUUCGGGGGUACGACGAGCGGCGAACGGGUGAGUAACACGUGGGUGACCUGCCUUUAGUCUCUGGGAUAAGCCUGGGAAACUGGGUCUAAUACCGGAUAUGACCCUAUGGCGCAUGUUGUGGGGUGGAAAGCCUUGUGCGGCUAGGGAGU
Molecule: ribosomal RNA, 200 nt
Filed under: uncultured bacterium
Lineage: Bacteria
Description: partial 16S ribosomal RNA
Rfam family: Bacterial small subunit ribosomal RNA
Source: RNAcentral